AAACGACUCUCGGCAACGGAUAUCUCGGCUCUCGCAUCGAUGAAGAACGUAGCGAAAUGCGAUACUUGGUGUGAAUUGCAGAAUCCCGUGAACCAUCGAGUCUUUGAACGCAAGUUGCCCCCCAAGCCAUUAGGCCGAGGGCACGUUUGCCUGGGUGUCACGC
RNAcentral lists this ribosomal RNA (163 nucleotides) under Citrus reticulata (mandarin orange). RNAcentral describes it as "5.8S ribosomal RNA". It matches the Rfam family "5.8S ribosomal RNA". Rfam says of the family: 5.8S ribosomal RNA (5.8S rRNA) is a component of the large subunit of the eukaryotic ribosome. The record is from RNAcentral. Lineage: Eukaryota; Viridiplantae; Streptophyta; Magnoliopsida; Sapindales; Rutaceae.